This 460-nucleotide ribosomal RNA is filed under the name uncultured bacterium. RNAcentral describes it as "partial 16S ribosomal RNA". It matches the Rfam family "Bacterial small subunit ribosomal RNA", at positions 338 to 795 of the family's 1533-position model. The record is from RNAcentral.
CCUACGGGGCGCAGCAGUGAGGAAUAUUGGUCAAUGGACGAGAGUCUGAACCAGCCAAGUAGCGUGAAGGAUGACUGCCCUAUGGGUUGUAAACUUCUUUUAUAUGGGAAUAAAACGUUCCACGUGUGGGAUUUUGUAUGUACCAUAUGAAUAAGGAUCGGCUAACUCCGUGCCAGCAGCCGCGGUAAUACGGAGGAUCCGAGCGUUAUCCGGAUUUAUUGGGUUUAAAGGGAGCGUAGGUGGAUUGAUAAGUCAGUUGUGAAAGUUUGCGGCUCAACCGUAAAAUUGCAGUUGAAACUGGCAGUCUUGAGUACAGUAGAGGUGGGCGGAAUUCGUGGUGUAGCGGUGAAAUGCUUAGAUAUCACGAAGAACUCCGAUUGCGAAGGCAGUUCACUGGACUGCAACUGACACUGAGGCUCGAAAGUGUGGGUAUCAAACAGGAUUAGAUACCCCAGUAGUC